GAAAGUAGUUUAAGUUAGAACGCCGGCUUUGGGUGUUGGUGGCAGAGUUAGAUACUUUCUUUCUGAUU
Molecule: transfer RNA, 68 nt
Filed under: Macaca leucogenys
Lineage: Eukaryota; Metazoa; Chordata; Mammalia; Primates; Cercopithecidae
Description: tRNA-Pro
Rfam family: tRNA
About the family: Transfer RNA (tRNA) molecules are approximately 80 nucleotides in length.
Source: RNAcentral